RNAcentral lists this long non-coding RNA (38437 nucleotides) under Musa acuminata (dwarf banana). RNAcentral describes it as "long non-coding RNA (MACU_LNC004305)". Lineage: Eukaryota; Viridiplantae; Streptophyta; Magnoliopsida; Zingiberales; Musaceae. The record is from RNAcentral.
UGAAGGGUAAAACUAUAAAUUUUUAUAGGAUAUACAAUAGAAAUUUUAUAUUUCUAAAGGAUAAAACUCUUAAAAAGAUAUAAAUUAGAAUUAAAUAAAUUUAAAGAGGUAAAACUAUAGUUGUUGCAGGAGGCACGACCACUGUCAUGAGCGAUCGUCGCUUGCAUAAGGCGUCGCAGUAGCCAUCUGUGGCUAUGCACAAGGCACUAUCGUCACCACUGUGUGCAACUGCCACGUGCUCAUGGCCUUCCUGCUCAUGCAUGGUUGUGCACGUGUGUCGCCUAGUGACCCCCAUGAUCGUUGCAACGUGACUAUGCAUACACACACGUGCUUAUCGAUAUUGUUGACUUUCAACGUCUAAUGACACUAUCCAUGGCUAACUGCAACCAACACAGUUAUUGCGGUUAGCGAUGGUGCUACUGUAGCCACCACAUAGGACGAUAGUGUGCAGCCACCGUAGCCAUCAUGGGCAGUGGCACUGUUAUAUCCUCCGCACAUAAUGGUGUAAUAUUGUUAUCGUAAAGCUUUCGUAUCCUACAAUGCUUGCAUUGUAUACGUAGCUAUUUCUCGUGAUUUGGCUGACAGACCAUCGAAAAUUGCACCCCUCAAUAAUACUGUUGCCGACAGUAAGUUAUCGACAGUGGUCCGUCAAUCAAGCACGAGAAAUCUUACAUCACUCGUAAGCAGCGGGUGAUAUGAUAGACCGGAUAGAAAAGUAUGCAGAUAAAUCAUUUAUACAUCGUAAAUAAAAUCGAUUAAUACCUUUCAUAAGGGAAACGUGCAAACAAAUAAGUAUAUCUCUUUACUAAAAAUUCUAUUCCGAAGUAAAUAAUAAUAAUAAUAAUAAAUAAAUAAAUAAAUAAAGUGGCGCCGCAUCCUUGUCGCCAAUUCGAUACAUUGGAGGAUUACGAACAUUCCUGCUGUUGAGUCGCCACAGGUGAAAGGGCGGCCGCCUCCCCUCCCCUCCGUUCCUAAAUACAUCUCCGAAACACUCUCCUUGCAGCUCUUCUUCCCUCCGUUGUCCUGGUACCUACGCCCUCACGACCGCGCCGAUGGAAGCAGUGGCCUCUCUGCGAGUUCCCACGGGCCAAGGCGCGCGCCAGUCCCUCGGCGGCCCGAGUUCUUCCCGCCCGAGGUCGGGAUGGGGCCCAGUCUUCGUGAAGACCGCCUCCGUCCGCCCUCCCCGAUCGUCCUUGAACAUCGCUUCCACGGAUUCAUCUCCCCUGGAGGUACUUCUUUUCGAUUGCUCUUUUGGAAAUUUUAUCAAACGGAAAGACUGCGCCCCUUUUCAACCCAGCUUAACUCAUUGCGUUAGCAUUCCUGCAAGCUACUGUUUCUCUGCCGGCAGUCGCAUAAGAAGGCUGCUUCUUUUAAAAGGCUUGUACACAUAUUUGCAUGGUAUCCUCGGAUUACCCAGUUUCUAAUUGUCUCAUGCCAUGCUUCGACUCUACGAACCAUAAGAAUCUUAGAGUUACAAACCUACCUAUUUGUUUCUUUCUUUGGGACGCCAGAAGGUCUAGGAUUGUUGGGAUGCUUUAUUCUUUUGUUAAAUGAGAUGGCUUUCGAAUGGUUUAUUAAAUUAGGUUCAUUCAAUUUCUUUAGUUGAUUCUAAGGGAAUUCAGUUUUCUUUAGGUGAAGAAGAAUAAUGUGGGAAAUCUCACCGAUUGGGAUUUGUCAGCUAGUACAAUGUCUCUGUCACCGUUGGAUGGACGUUAUAUGCAGAAAGUCAAGGACUUACGCCCAUUCUUUAGCGAAUAUGGAUUGAUCCGUCACCGAGUAUUGGUUGAGGUUAGUGUUCUAGUCCAACUAGCUUGGUAAUCAAGUCAAUUUCCUCUCUUUGAAGCUUAAUUCUGUUGGACCUUUUAUUUGGUCGAGUAUAAUUGACAUCAACCGUUUCAUUUUAUUUAUCCUGUGUUUGAUAUACUGGCCAGUUAACACUCUUGAAUCAUCACUCAUUUUUCUAUCAUUUUAUAUGUGAGAUUUGUUUCCAAGUGUGUUAUGGUAGUUUUUGAUAUACUUGUCCCUACCUCUUCUUUUUAAAUUCUCAAUAACCAAGUGAUCAUAUUGAUUUAUGAGUUUGUGAUCUUAUUAUUCUGAUGACUGCUGCUCUGAAAUAGUCCAUAUCUCUGCCACUAUGCCAUGUGAUCAUUAGGAAUGUAGUACUAAACUCUAUACUGUGUAUAUGGCUCAGACCGUGUUGUAUACUAAUUCAGUUCUCUGCAUAAAGUGCAUAAAUUGAUUGUUUUAUUGUCUUAUAAGAAGCCCUAGAACCACCUAAUAUACUUGUGGAAAUCUUUGGCAUACAAGAUUUAGGAACUCUUCAUUGCAUCUGAAGGUUAUAUAUAUCUAACAGUCACUUCUCAUAAGUGAGUAUUUAGUAUUCUGCAUGUUUAGCUCCCUCUUUUGCUUUACUAUGUAAUUGGCUGGUUCAUGUAGAGGCCUCCUGAGCAUUUUGAUAUGUGAAGUGUACUUUUUUAUUCCUAAGCUGUUAUAGUAACAUAAUAAGCUUAGUCCAUUUUCGCCCUUAUAAAACAAUGGACAUAUAUCUGUUACUUUAACCAUCAAUGAAACUUUCUUUCAUCUGUUCAUCUAUGUUUUAUAUCACGAUAUAUUGAACUGAGAACUACUUUAGGGUGGUGAACUGAGAAGAACUCAAAAGUGUUAGACUGCUAAGAUGGCUAUUUGGUGUGCUAGGAAGGACAAUGCUGAAAAUAAGUGGCAGCCUUUAAGUUGAACUUACAAUUGAAGUGAUUCACUUUUAGAGUUUUGUGUAGCGAAAAUGUUUGGGGAGGAGGAAGUUUGCCUUAGAAAAAUCUUCCUUAGAAACACUGGAGCGGAACUCAAGUUCUGCAGAAGUGGUCUGGGGCUAAAGGUCAGAAUCAUUUUUCAACUUAUUGCAAAAUAAACAACCCCCAAGUGCAUAGGAAGAAUGAUUGUUACAUUAGUGAAGGAGAAGAACAUUGACUGAAUAUUGGCUUAUGCAACACAGGAUCGAGGUAGACUUGGAGGAGUAACUCAAACAUUUUUGUGGAGUUGGAAUUCACAACAUCGUCAAUCAGAUGCAAACAUUAUGAUUUCAGCCUUACAAUUGUUUCCGAGUGAUGAACUUACUAAGAUAUCAUUGUGGAGGUAGAAUUUGUAUUAGAUUAAUUUAAAUCCUUAUCAUGACAGACACUUCAAAGUGCUUACACAUCCAUGUCUGUGACCAAAUCUCAAAUAUUUUUCAACUUGUGUUGGAUAGAUCGGAGCAUACUAUGUCUUACACCAUUAUACUUAUAUAUGUUAAUCUAUUACAUAUAUAUAGAAUGUCAAAUAAUUGAGUUUAUAUAUGUGGAUCAGAUUGCUGAUUAACUCCUCAAUGUUUCUUGUAUGUGUUUGAAGUAUUUUUUAUGAAUUCUUUUAUUCAUAUGAAUGUUGGUUAUGUGUAUCGUGAAUUAUAUAUGACAUAUAUUGCCUAAUUUGUACAAAGUAAAAUAUCAUAAUAUAAAAUUCAUAUGUUAGUUGUUCUGUUUUAUGCACUGUUUUGUCCUACUUUUACAAGAUUUUUGAAGAUGGCAUGUCCAUAUCAUGUUGGUAUUGAUUACUUCCAGAUAGAUGCAAUAUCCAAAUUCCACAAUGUUUUAUUAUCAAAUAUAAUAUUUUUCUCUCUUUUCUUAUGUUUGAAAAUGCUUAUAAGCUGAAAUAAGAUUAUGCACUGGUGGUAUGUACUCAUAAUUUCUGGAGUAAGUUUUUUUUUUUCAGUAAUAGGAAAGUGGAAUAAGGUUUUUCUGUUGGUGUUAACAUUAGCUGCUUUUGUUAAGUAGGUUUUGAAUGGUUCUUUGCAGGUGAAAUGGUUGUUAAAGCUUUCAGAAGUCCCAGAAAUUACAGAGGUCCCGCAGUUCAGUCUGGAUGCUCAGUCUUUCUUGGAAAAAAUUAUUCAUGAUUUUGAUAUAAAUGAUGCCUUAGAAGUAAAAAAAAUAGAAAAAAUAACUAAUCAUGAUGUCAAGGCAGUGGAAUACUAUUUGAAGCAAAGAUGUAAAUCUCAUCCAGAAAUUGAAAAGGUUAGUUUUAUUUUCUUAACUGCCAGGAGGGGCUGUUUUGUUUGUCCUUAAAUUGUUUACCGUGUGAUUUUAACAAUAUUAGUAUAUGACAAUGUGUUUUUGUUGUUCUUGAUUAGUGUGAUACUCUUCUUUCAGGUGCUUGAGUUUUUUCAUUUUGCUUGUACAUCCGAGGAUAUAAACAAUUUGGCUCAUGCAUUAUCACUAAAAGAAGCUAUGAACAAGGUCAUUUUUCCAGUCAUGGUUGAUUUAUGUGAAGCAAUACGUGUCAUGGCAAAGGAAAAUGCGCAUAUUCCUAUGCUGUCGCGCACUCAUGGGCAGGUACUUCACCUAUUAUAGAGGAGAUGUAGUUUUUUUUCUUUGAUGUUACCUUAAGUUGCUUAGUCUUUCCUAGUUAAAUAUUUUAAAUUUUGUGUCAAACAUUUGGCCUUUCUUGCUUCUAAUAACUCAUAUCAAUUUCCAUUAACCUUUCUUUCUUCUAGAUCUUAUACAAAUUUGCUUGGUACUUUUAUUAGUGAAACUAACACAUUAAAAAUGUUAAAUCACAUAAUAUUAGGAUAACUUAACAGUACAGCUCAUGUCACUUUAUGUGGUCAAGAAAUGGGUUAAUAGAUGUUAUGGUUUCUAAGUUGUUGAUCUCUUUCUUGUCAAAUUUUCAAUGAUGUAAUUACUUCUUGCAAAAUUUUAGAGUUUAAAAAGUUCCAUUCUGUUUAUAAAUCUCUAAUGAUGCAUUGACGAAAGGAACAUCUAAACUCACUUUAUUCAUUAAAAUAAAUUUAUGACAUGUUUCAUGCUUUAUACAAUGAAAUUUUAUUUAGAAUAGUUUCCAAUCACUUACCUGUGCUGGCCAGCAUGAAAACUGUGGUACCAUGCCAGCAUGUUGUGGGGGCACACUGUAAAAUUUAAAACCUUGAUCAUGAGAGGGCAACAUCAUCAUUCUAAAAGUGUGGGUUACUUGGCAAUGAGUUUUCCUGAGUAGGUAAUGCUACACUAAAUUUUUUUGUCAUUUUCAAAGAAAUUUUGAACAAUCUUAAUAUGGACAGUUAGUGCUAUUGAUUUUUGCCAUAAACAAUUGUUUAUUCAUUCUGAAACAAAAAUUAAUCAGUUCUUUCUUUGUCGUGUUUAGCCGGCUUCACCCACUACUUUGGGAAAGGAAAUGGCAAAUUUUGCUGUCAGACUAAGUGAGCGUGGUAAGGCUUUCUCCAAAAUUCAUGUAUUGGGCAAGUUUGCUGGUGCAGUUGGAAAUUAUAAUGCUCAUAAAGUUGCAUACCCUGAUAUCAACUGGAAAAGCAUUACUGCAGAAUUUGUACAAUCUCUAGGAGUAGACUUCAAUGCUUAUGUGACACAGGUAUAUUUUUCAUAUACAUUAUUGCAUGAUUAUAUACUCACUCAAGAUUAAUAGAUAUCUUGCCCAACUUAAUUUUUGUUGCAAAUGAUUUCUUUUCAUCAUACUUAUCUUCAAUAACUAGUAGCAGCAAUUGAAUUCAUUUCCUUUGACAAGGUAUCUUUACAUGGAAAAGGACCUCUGGUCAUGCUGAGUUUUUCAAGUCUAUAGUAUUGUGUUUCAUUAUUCUAUUACAAGUUUUUCGGUUUUUGCCGCUAAUUGUAUUGUUUAGAUGCAUAUCUCAUCUGAAAUUUCAUCUGAUUUAAACACUCAAAUUGACAUCUUUGUACAGGAGAAAACAUGACAAUCUCAAUCUUCCAAAUUCGAUCAUCAUGUAGAUUUGCCUUCAAAAUUUGAAAACCUCAUCUUCUGUUUUCUCUCUCUUUUAAUUUGCAACAUCUUUGAAGUUUCUGCUCAAUUACAAGAUGCCGCCUUGUUAUUUUUGCAAUUUUUUUCCAAUCAUCCUUAGACAUGUAAGUAUAUAUUCUACGUCUUGUACAUUACUAGAUCACAAAGCAGAAUAGGCAAAAAAAAAAAAAGCAUGCUUAAUUUGGUAGAAAAAACAUAUUGUUCUUUGUGUUAUGCAAUUACAUGAUCUUGAUAUUGUUUGUCUUGUUGCUCACAAGUACCCACCAAUUCAUCCCUAACCCUAACAUGAUAUUAUUUAACAUCUCUAAGUCACAAACAUCCUUGGCCCAGAUUUUUGAGCUAAUAAUUACAUCGUUGCUUCAGUUGACAUUCCCUGUGAAAUAUCUUCUAAAUACUUCAAGCUGGUUAAAGCAUUUACUUUGGUGAUCCAAGGGAUCAAUGUGAAGCUGAUCUUCUUACUAGAUCUGAAAAAAGAUUCUAGCCUUGACUGGAUUAUAGUCAGUUGAUCAACUACCUCAUUUUUUUGUUUGUUAUUCUGUGAUUGUCUCUUGAUAUAGAUGUAAUAAAGUCCAUGGAUAACACAAUCUACUAGUUAGGAGGCCUAUCAGAAUUCGCCUGUCAGACUUUGUGAAACUUCUCAUUUAUAGUUAACCAAAUUAUGCAUUUUCACGACACACCGCCAUGUUUGUGACAUGCUUGCUUCAGUAAGAUAGUUUCUUUUGAAUUGCUUUACCCAGUGGAGCUUUACAAGAGCACAAAAUUUUCUGCUUCUACCUGAGGAAGCCUCGCAAUUAGACACUGAUAAAAUCAUACAAAGACUAUUAGCAGUUUUAUUCGGAAGUGGGAUGGGAGGUUCAAACAAAACCGGCUUUGAAUAAGAACGGACAAAUACUUAGGAGUUGCUUGUAUACAUUAUCUUUCACUCAGAGUAACAAUGUUAGUGUGUUGAUUGUAUUAGAAUCUGACUUGUAUGCAUUAUCUUUCACUCAGUGUAACUAUGUUGGUGUGUUGAUUGUCUAGAUUAUCUUUAGAAUCUGACUUUUGCAAGUAUAUUAGGCCACACAAAUGCAUACACUCCUUGUGUAGACCAUUAUUUUAAAGCAGUUCAUGCAAUUUCUUAAGAUUUCUGAGUCAAAGUCUUAUCUCUUAUCAUGCAGAUCGAACCUCACGACUACAUUGCAGAGCUUUUCAAUAAUGUCACGCAGUUUAAUAACAUCUUGAUUGAUUUUGAUAGAGAUAUAUGGAGCUACAUAUCUUUAGGUUAUUUUAAACAGGUAACCCUAACUUUCCACUACUAUAUUAAUUUCUUUUCCUUUGUAACAAAUUGAUCGAGAAUAAAUAUUUCUAAUGUUCUCUGCAGAUAACAAAGGCUGGUGAGAUUGGAUCGUCCACUAUGCCUCACAAAGUAAAUCCUAUUGAUUUCGAGAACAGUGAGGGCAAUCUAUGCUUGGGUAAUGCCGUUCUAUCAGCCCUUAGCAUGAAAUUGCCCAUUUCACGGAUGCAGGUAUUAUUCCAUCUUGAUCCAGAUUUCUCUUUGUUGGUCAGAUGUCAGAAACUGCUUUAUUUGGUAGUAAAUUUAAAUUUGAAUUUGCUGGGAGUGAUACAUACAUGCUUGUGAUCUCAGAACCUAUAACAAGAUUCAACUAUUUAAGAACGCUUUGAAAGAUUCACUUAUUCUUAAAUCACAUAUUAUAUAUGUGUUUAUGUGUGUGUGUGUGAUGCAUGUGCCUAUGUGUAUUCAGUUUUUGUUCUAUCCAUUGGUCUUCAUGCAGUGAUGUCAUUCUUACUAUUGUGUUGUGCAUAACAGCGUGACCUAACUGAUUCAACUGUCUUGAGGAACCUGGGUGUCGGUUUAGGUUACUCUCUUCUGGCUUAUAAAAGUGCACUACUGGGAAUCAAAAAGCUCCAGGUAAACAGUCUGCGCAUUGUGUGUAUUUACUAGUAAGGAUAUAGAACUACCAUGCAAAGCUUUCUUUGACCUUUUGAUUAUGAUGGAUUUCGUUAGCAUUUAAGGAUAAGGUUUGAAGCCAACAUGCAUGCCAACCUUUUUGUAUUUUCAUUACUAAUCAAUAAUGAUUUGUAAUCGGUUGACAUAUCUUUUGUUAUUCUACUACUACUUCAGGAAGUUUUCUUCAUCUUAUGCAUUCCUUGCUUAUCCAUAAUCAGUGGAUUCCACUGAAGGUCAAAUCAGCAGAUUAGUUAUUUGAAAGUUGAAUUGCGGUUUAAAUGGUUAUCAUGAUUCAGUGUGUAUAACAGUAAUAAAACAUACUGCAACAAUUCUGUUGUCAUUUCCAACAUAAAAGUCAGAUAUGAUACUUAUAAAUAGAGUUCGUUUUUUAGAGCAUAAGAACAUGUAGCUUCAACCAUUCUGCGAUGUAAAUUUUAACUAAAGUGCAAUCAUGAGUUAAGGAUCUCUAAUUCUUCAUAUUUUGUGGUUGUAAUUAUCUGUUUGUAAACUAUGCAAUGGUAGAUGGUGAUGCUAAUCUAAAUUGAACUGGAAUAACACGGUAAAGAAUAAUGCUAAGGAAACAGAAAACAUGAACAAGGUAAAAGACUGGGGAGUUCUGAUGAAUAGUUCAUUCAAGCCAAGUUUGUAGCUUCACACAGAUUGUACUUUUGGCUCUAAAAUUACUAUUAAAGAUUGCCUAAUCGAGAGCAUCUCUUGAGUAAGUCAAGGCCACUGGCACUGUAUGUGUUGUCAAUAUUUGACAAUAUGGUGAGCAGAAAUGUAUGGCAGGGUGUCCCCACAGGCAUGGCUCUGGAAAGAGGAAAAAAGAAAAAAGAGGAAAAGGGAGUAAAGGAAGAAUGAACAGCUACAAAAAACUAUAAAAUUUCGAGUUGGAGUCCAACUACAUAGAUAUUUUCUUGCCUUUGAGAUGUAUUGUUAGUUACAUUACUGGUCAAAAUAAGGACUAUUAUAUCCUUCUUAUGGCUCUCUUUUUCUAUGCUCCCUCUUGAUCUCCAUUUCUUUUGGCUGUAGUUGCAGCUUCGAGUUGUUUCCUUAAUCUGCUCUUAUCUUUCCUGCAAGCAUAUUUUUUCAGGUUUUUUAUCUGUUCUAUUUUCUCUUUAGUUUUAUCUGAUUACUACCUAUUCACUAUCAUUGAUUAAGUUGGUCAUUAUUUGUUAAAAGAGUAGAAAAAAAUCUUUUAGGGGCUUUCUUGCAGGUUUGCCUAUUUCAAAAAUUGAGUGAUCGUUUUGCAGGUGAAUGAAUCUUGUUUAAAUGAAGACUUGGAGCAGACCUGGGAGGUCCUUGCCGAACCAAUUCAAACGGUAAGACUCUGACAGUUGUUCUGUGUUUGACAAGUUCAAUUAAACUCAAACGCAGGUAGAGGAUCUGAAGUUCUAUGUAGUUUUUUUUUCUGAUGUUUAGUAAAGGCACUAGAAUAAUGACUUUUGUUUUUGUUGUGGAUAAUUUUCAUCAUUUGGCAUUAUAACCGGAAGAGUAUCACUAUAAUCUCUUCCAUUCGGAUAAAAGUUAGUCCAUUUUAUUAAGUUUACUUUCCGGGCAUUGCGUCCCAUGGUCUUACUUCCUUUGCUUUAGGUGUAUGACAUAAUGUGCAUGUUUUAGUUGCCUAAGCAGAGGGAUCGUUUGAGAUUGCUGGAUCCAUAAACUAUCAAUUAGUCUAGGCUUAUUAAAACCCUAAAAAGAUGAUCAGAGAAAGUUUAUCCCAGUGAAUGAACUAUAUUUAAUCGUAAGCAAUAUAAAGGUGGAAUUCUUGUGUAAUCAAUAUCUUUUCUGAUAUCGGAAGCCACUUACAUGACCUUGUAGCUAAAGUUUUUUGUGUUUCAGCUUCAUAAUCUGGACUCUGUUCAAGCGAUUCAUGAUGCCAAAUUUAAGCUGUUAGUGCUGUUUGCAUUGUUUUCUAGGUCAUGCGAAGAUAUGCUGUUCCUGAGGCAUACGAGAAGCUGAAGGAAUUGACCAGAGGAAGAGCUGUGUCGAAGAAGAGCAUCAGAGAGUUUACAGAGAGCUUGGAUUUGCCCCAGGAAGCAAAGACAAUUCUCUUGAACUUGACUCCUCACACCUAUACCGGGGAAGCAGAGAGAUUGGCCAACUCUGUAGAUGAUGCUAUGGACUUGGUCAACGGGUUUAACCUCCCCUAACAGUCAGCAUGAUCCACAACCUUCAUGGACAAGAAAACAUUGGGUGAUGGAGAAGCCAUCGAUGAUAUAAUUAAUACAUGCAGAAAAUAUCAAUACUUCAUUGGAUCUAUCAUUCUGGUGAAUUAUUUUGACAUCUAUCUGCUCUAAGAAGCUACAGCUAAUCAGUUCCUCUGCUUGAUAGCAUCCUCUGUUUGACCUUUCUUUUAAUAUCUCCUCUGUGUUUUCCCUUUCUUUGUGGAAGCUAAUAUGAUCACAUACCAACAGAAGCCGACAAGACUGUCACGUGUUCCAUUCAUUUCAAAAUAUCUGGUGAGAAUCUUCUUAAUCUCACCGAUGCCUAUUUAUUUCUUGCAUUAUAUAUAUAUAUAUAUAUAUAUAUUGAGAUGGAAAUCCGUAUUUGAUGUUGUAGUCCUUUUUCUUCUCGUCGAAUACAAACUCGUCCUAUUGUGUUGCCUGAUGGAUUAUGUCAUCAAGCAAAGUUGUCUACAGACCGAAAACGACGGUCGCAGAAAACUCCCUCUUCCACUCCGCCGCCGCUGGCGACGGUAGGGACCUCUCGAUCACCGACCGCCAGAGAUAUCAAUUUCGAUGAGGUUCUCCUCCUCGAGAUCGAUCUCGAUCAUGUCGUCCCCUUGCUCUUCGUCCUCCCACGGGAGCCGGGGCUCCGCCGGCGAGCUCGACCCCGACGCGGCCGGGGAGCCGCCCUCGCUGUCGGUAUCGGAGUCGUCGCACGCGAACCGGAGUGGCCACAGUCGCCCGCUUCCCAAAUUUUCAUUUUGGGCCCACUUCGAGUGUUGUUCCUGCGAGCGUCCUCUGCAGCGGGACUCCUCGUUCUCUUCCUCCCCCUCGUAGUCUUCGUAUAUGACCUCGAGCGGUCCGCUCCAGCGGAGGCAGUCGGUGAAAGCAUCGCGAAAGAUCACAUUUUGAUGGUAAUCGGUGGAUUCCACCGCCUUGGCCUCGGGCUUGGGUUCCGAGAGAACUGGGGUUACCUCCUCCUCGACGGCGGCCGCGGCAGCGAGGGAGUUGGGCGGCGGGGAGCGGAGGCGGAAGAGGGCGGCGAGGAGGAGGAAGGUGGAGAUGGGAAUGGGGGAGAGGAGGAGGGGGAGGAGUGUGCGGGGGAGGUAGAGGAAGGCAAGGAUGGAAGCGGCGGCGAGGACUGCGAAGAGAGGGUGGGAGGAGUGGUUGGAUAGGGAAAGAUAACAUCUUGAGAGGAGACUCAGCGCCUCUACCGACAACUCCACUAGAAGAGGAGGAGGAGGAGGAGACUCGGCUUUUGCUGCUUCCAUUGCACCAAAAGAAAGACCGCUCUUUGAUUCAACCGUUCCGGCAAGGUUUCACAGACAACCUACAGAGAGAGAGAGAGAGAAGAAGAAGGAAGCCGACAUGGAGAACGAACCCCUUCGAGGUGAAUAACACAGGGAAAAGGGCGUCAAAAGAGAGAACGAUAGGUGUGCGAGACAAAAGCGGUGGUCACAUCCCUUCUCUCUCUCUCUCUGUCGCUAAAGUUACUUGGAAGCCCGAGACCUGCUCGCUACUAAAAUAUACCGAGUGAUGAUGCUAUUGAAUGGGCUCUAAGACCGGUGGCUCUGUUUCGGCAUAUGAAGUGUCCCACCUGAUAGCGAUCGUAGCAACAGCAAGCCAUUAUUGUGGAGUCGAACGAAGAGGCUUUGCGAUCUCCUUCCUCCGGCUUAUUAGGUUGAAUCCAAUGACACGGACGAAGACGGCGCCAUGCCACGCUACCCCCAUUGACACGACCAGCAGAAGACAAGCUGCGUUCUAAUGUUGCGUGUAGUCGAGUACAGCUAAGGAAGGAAUUGGCAGAACAUGUCGCAGCAUCAAUCGCAACAGCAGAUGAUGUCUCCAUUAGGUGUGUGUGUGUGUGUGGAAGUUACGAUCGAUCGCAUUUAAGGUGUUUAACAGACCCAUUUAAUCUUCUCUUUACCUUACCGUUCUACUUGUUGAUAUCGAAGAAAGCCACCCGCUGAAAUGUGACACCGUCUUUGGGUUGGGUUGCCUCCUCAUCUUUUCUCCGUCGACGCCUAUCGCCACCGCUGCACUCACAUGUCCCCAUCCACUUUUCUAUCGUGUUAUGGUCUAAAGCCAACCUUUGGAGGUGAGAGGGCUCCUCGGCAUAGCUUUUCGAGGCGUUCGAAAGGGAUGCGAGGGGGGGAGAAUCCACAGAGAAGGAGCGGCUGCAGAGGGAAAAGGAUUCUUCUGCCUCGUGGUGUGUUGCAAGACUGGUUAGUGGUUGCGAGCUGUGGGAAUGCACGAUGGUCAGCAUACGCUGAACAUGCUACAGCAAAGCCACCUGAAGCUAAGAAGCUCUCUGCUGCUUGCCAUACAUGCAUGCAUCUGUACCACCAAAAAUAUCCAUGUUUCUUUCUUUCCUUCUGAGAAUCUCCUAAUUGUUUCAGAACAAUUAAGAACAAAAAAAAUUUAACUUGAAAGAAUUCAGUUCAGAUAUAGGUUAUUUAUUCAAAAGUUUUUGUAACUCAAUCAAAGAUCAAAGAUUUGAUUUUUUCUGACUCUAUUUGUAAUUCGCUAGAAGCUCGGAAAACAAAGAAAAGAUGUAUAAGAACGAUAUAUCCAUCCAGCAACAAAACAAAAAAAAGGAAAAUGAUUGAAUGGAGAAACUCCAACUCUCUAGCAUAAUUAACCAUACACAAAGUCGAUGGAAAUAUCCUAUUAGGAUUGGAAGUGAAACAUAGAUGCAUUUGGGAUCCAAGAACCCUCUGAUCAAACAAAUCACAAGGUGCAUGCACCUCCAAUCAUUGCAUCAUUGAGAACCUCCCAGAGUGUGGGAUGUGACAACACUUUAAUUAGCAUCUGUCAUCAUUGCUUUGUUGCAUUGUAAAAUGGUUUGGAAGGUGAUGAGUGACAAAAAGUCAUCACCUUGAGUAACAAAAUCCAAUUCCCAAUAGAUCUCUCAUUAACCAGAAGAAGAAAAUAAGUAAGAACAUGCCAUAAAACCAAUUAGAACUUCAAAAUCCUUCAUUCCACAGUCGUAAAGAAAGAGCGCACACGGUGAAUGUCAAAGAAUCCACAGCUAAUGAUAAAAUUAUGGACGACGAAGCUUAAAUACAAGUAUUCACUCCCUUGUAAGAAUUUUACAUGACAAGAAAGAACCCACUUCCAGAAAAUUGCACAUGUUAGAGAAAGCCCAUCCUCUUCAAUAAAUGGAUUGAAGAUGAGUUGCAGUGUGACCAAACAAAGAGCAAAUACAAAACCAUAAAGAGAUUCAGAUCGAAACAUACAGAAGAGUGUAUACAUAUAAACUGUUAAAGCUUACUACAUAUUUCUACAUAUUUGUAGGAAUUUCACCUUGCCAUCACUCUUACCUCUCAGGAAAUCUUUACACCGUCCGGAUGUGAUUUUGCAAACCUCUGCCUUGCUGCAUUUGAAGGCCUUUCACUAAUUUCCAUACUGGAAUUCCUCUUGAAAAUGGGCUUUGAGCAAAUGUUAGCAUUCAACUCCAUUGUGAGGAUCUUUGAGGUUUUCUUCCGUUGCACGUACUCAAUUUCAAAGAAAAUUUAAAUUAAGCACGAUGGCUUGCCAGCUACUAUAGGAUGGUGUAUAUGCCAGCUCUGACACUUAUCUCCAUGAGAAAAAUACAAAUUUUUUGCAGUGACAAUGUGUUGGACAAAAAUUUCAAGUACUGAAUUCAACUGAAGCUGCCACAAAGUUUCUGAUUCCAAGAACAGUGAGAUAAGACAGUGAUGCUUGAUAGAAAAGUCUUCUCUGAAUCAUUGGUCCUGCAACUACAGCAUUAUAACAUGCUGAUUUUAGCACAGACAGAGAAAUUAUAAAAGAUGUCCAAUUUCUCAAAAUAUUACCUAUAAUGGAUGAUAACUGGAGAUUCCAGAUAUCAUUUCUACAAAGAUAAAUGCAACACUUCCACCUUCGAAGAGCAAUACGCUAUAGAAUUCCAAAGACUGUAUAUAGCGGUUGUUGGCUCCUUUGAAGGGCAGUUUGUCAUACAAAAUCUAUUUGAUGAAAGAUUAAGAGAACUUAUACACGAUUCCAAAAUGAGCAGGAGACUACAAAAGUGUAAUGCUCCAUGAUUUUACAUAUCACUCUUUCUAUCCUUAUUGUGGCAGAAUGCUGCAGAUUGUAAGACCAGAAUUAAAAUAUGAAUUUUCCUUAUAGCGAUAAUUUUUCCUUCAAUUUUUCAUUAUACUUCUUAAUGUAUGUUGGUCUUUCUACUUUUUCCAAACAUAGAUAUCUUUUUUGCAUUUUCUUAAAGCAUAAAAUGUUCACUCACAAAUUAAUGAUCUUGUACAAGGAUAUAUACCAGACAUCAGGAGCGAAACUAAAAUAGUGAACUCGCUCAUUGUGCGGAGAUGGAAGCUACAAUGUGGAGACCAGAAGUAAAUCAUAUUAAAUUACUGCUUUUAUAAAGAAGAAAACAGCAGCUUGCAUAAGUAACAAAAAGAGGAAAAAUAAUGACAUCUAUUACAUCUUACAACAUGCUAGCUUUGUCCAACUUAUCAAUUGCAUCUUAACCUCACAUAUAACUUGCAAAACCACAAGUUAACAACAAAUCCACAUAUGAAGUCAUUUCACAGCAAAGGCCACAGCCAAAUGAUGAAGAUCUUUGGAAGUAUAAACUGCUGUCUUUGAUUCUUGAUUUUAACAUUUAUCUGAACCUCAAGCUCAGGAGGCAAUACACAACCUAAACAUAUAUUUUGUCUAAUAAUAACUGCUUAAAAAUUUCCACUAACAGCAUCACCAUAUAUAGUAAGUAGUAAAAUGAUAAUUCCAAGGAAAGCCAAAAACUCGAUUGGCACCAUGAGAGAGACUGGCACUAAUUUGCAAACUAAGUAAAGCUGAUUAAUAUCUAUAAGAUAUGACAUUAUUAAUCCCAGAAGAACAUACCGAUUGAAGUCUCUGAGCUUCUUAGUUUGUAGAAACCAUUUCCAUCCUCAUUGCUCGUUCAUUCAGUUAGAGUAGAUGUUGAAUUAAAUGAAAGUCCUAGCAAAGCUUCUCCAUUGUGACCAGCACUUUUAUCUCACUAAUUCACUCUCCACAUGAAUUCUCAACCUGCCAAGUAACACAGGAGAAAUUUAGAAAAAAUUGAACAGUUUGAAACAUUUAUGCAGAAUACAUGACACAAGGAUCUUAAUAGAAGAGAGCCUUCAGCAAUUUUCACCCAUCAUAGAUCAAAUAAAAUUAUACAUCUGAUAAAAUCUGAGAAUUCUGCUUCCACAAGUUUUACACAGCUGAGGCUCAUACCUACUAACAUAGUAUUAAUAAGGAGGAAGGUUGGCUGCAGAUGAAGAUGAAUGUAUUAAAUACCCAGCAAAUAAUCUAAAAUAAGAAUAAGUCUCGAACAACAUGAUGCAAAUUCUGCUAAUAAAAUAAACAAGGGAGGACGUAGAAAUAAUUUAAUUUAUUCAUGUUUUAAAUGGUGAAAUUUCUGACAUGUUUAAAAGUGAAACUUACUGAUAAUUACAUAAGAAUGUUCUCUGUCACAACUUAAAACCUCUCAUAACCUAUGGAUGAAUAUAUUCUCCCUGAAUGAACAAAAAAAAAAGGAUAAUAAACAACCUUCUUCUGGACCAUAGGGCUUCACAAUUGUGCUAUCGGUACAUCAUACAGGAAAAGACAUCACUAACUUUUUCAGAAGUUGGCAAGAUAAUCCAUUUAGUACUAUUCAAAGAUAGCUGAAACUUCAAACUUCAGCAAAAACACAGAAUUUCCGGUCCUCACCAAUUCGGUAACAAGCAUGUGUGAUAUCGAUAUACUGGAAAGGAUCAUUGUAUGAAAACAAUCAACUUUAUCUUAUGCUCCACCACUUUUUGGAUGCUUUCUCUUCAGGAUUACCAAACUUUUGAAGUGAUGCCUUUGUCUCCCGUAACCGCAACUUGUAAACCUUCUUCCAAGUAGAAAAACGUGCCUUCAAAUUUUGCAGCUCUUCAUCAGGGUUUAUCUUAGAACUUGAUUGCCCUGACUUAGCUUCAACAAUAAACCCAGCAUCAUCCUCAAAUACCUGCCGCUGCUGCUCAAACUCGUUUACAAGGUGGAUAACUGCAAUUUCCUUGCUAUCAUUACUCCUUACUUCUUCAGCACCAAUGGACUGUUUGGCAGGAGUGUCUUCUGGUGUUUGGUUGACAGUUGAUAUGGUAUCUUCGGAGUCAUAACAGUUGUUAACUGCUGACAUAUUCAGCUGUCCAGGUCGAUUUGCCAUGUCAGAAGUGAGGCUCUUUCUUGCAGCAGCUAAAGUUGACUGUAUAAAGGACACAAAUUCCAUUAGGUAUUUGUCAUAGACUAUUUCCUCUACAUACUAAAUUAAAGAAUAAAUGCUCGUAGAGAAAAUUGCAUUGCAUGUAAAUAAUUGACAAUAAAAGUAGUUCAAAACUUCAAGAAAGCUUCCAAGGGUACUUUUCUGUCAGUUGGGAAUCGGUUUGGAGAAAAGGACAAACUAAAAUUGAAUUUUGAGCAAAGUUUACAUUGAAAAUGGAAAAAGAAAUUAUAAAUUCCUUUUUCCUAAAAGAAGCCAUACUAAAUUAAGGCAUAUAUUUUAUUUGAAGAGGAACCUUUAAGCAUCUUGCUUACCAAGUAUAUUAUAGAACUAGAAAAGAAAACAAUUAGAAAUUUCACAAAAGCAAAAAAAAAGAUCACCUGCAAACUAGUCAGUUGUUUUUGCCAUGUCUGUUCCAUAGACUUCAUUUUCAAUUCAUAUUCUGACCAUCUUGUGUCAUAGUGUUUAAGUCGCUGCUGUAAGAUAGCAUUUUCUUCUUCCUUUUUUCUCAAUGCUGCUUCUGCCCUUAAGGCACGCCUGUGAAGUUCAUCCAUAACUUCUGGGUGAAUUUGAGGGAGCUCACUGGUUUUGUCCUAUCAUUUAGUAACCAUGGCACUUUAAGAACUUUAAUCUGGGAAAAUAUUAUAAAAAGGUAAUAUGUCUGCUAUAGUCGUUAAUCAAAAUCGAAAAGGAAAGCUUGCUUUUUGACAUGAUCACAUGGAAAAUUGUUGCUUCAAUCGAUCACAACUCAAUAUAGUCUUAUCAAGCUAUUUUUUGACACCAUGUGUUUCUACCAUGUUAUAUUUCUUUCUAUGUUCUCCUGAUUUCUUUUUGCCAUUAUGCUUCUUUCUUUUUUCUAACUUGACUUCACUUAACAAUGAGCAUGGUUUUGAUCCAGCUGGACUGCUUUGUACCAGCCAAUACUUCCGACCUGAGAACGGACCAGUACUAGACCAUAUAAUACAGCAUCAACCGAUACUCAUUUCUUAUGUUUUCAGUAGUACUGGCCAAUACAGAUUGGUAUACUGCUCAAUAUACCAGUACCUUGUAUCGGACCAUUAAUUGAACCUGUUUUAUCUCACUUUCCGAAUGAAAAUAAAGUUUAUAAAUUUCUCUUUAUCUUCUUUCCAGGACAUAAAGCUUCAUUAGAAGAAAACAUAAUUGAUGAAUGCAGAACCAAAAAACAAAUAGUUCAGGGAUUACGGAAGUGAAAGGGAUCUAAAUAUGCUUAGUUCUUUAAUAUGGUAUACCAAAUGAACAUAUGAAAGCUCCAAGUAAGACAUUUAUGAUGCUGAAUAUCUUCCUUGAGUAACAGGUAAUGUGCAUUCUAGUUAUCAGGACUCAGUGUUGCUAGGCAUCAGUAAGAUAUCAAUAUUCUAGUAUAGAUACAUCCUCCUCUCUUAUAUAUACUAAUCUGCAAUUAUUAGCUCAUAUGAUCCUUAAUGGUACUUCCUAGACUACAAAAAGGUCUUCUAUAACAACACUACAAGAAGAAAUGUAGCAUGACACUGGUACUUGCUUAAAAAAGUCAACAGUUUCAACUUUGCUCUAAAGAUUAAAGUACCAAAUAACUCAAGAAAUUAAUUUCGAACAACUUCAGAAAUUUUGCUGAUGAGUUGCUUAUGGUAGAUUAUUUUUUAUUGAACAAGAAUAAAAAAUAAAUUUCCUGAUAUUGAACUUGAAGAUUGAUAGGUCUUUGAACAGACUUCUUCUUACAUAGAAUUAUAAAGUUAAUACCUUCAUCAGUUGUGCAAGAUUUCUUUCUGAACUUUUGUUCACUUCCACUUGAUUGAGUUUUGCCAUUUUGUGCAUUUUCAAGUUGAUAAAAGUCUUCCUUGCCAACCAACCACGAAUAGCUGCAGAUGAGAUGAAAUUUCUAAUGAGGGCAAAUGACACAAAGGAACUAGAAAACAGCUAGAUCCCCGACUACAAGCUAUAAUUAUGUUACCAGACUGCAAAAGUAUAAUAUCCUUCAGCUGGUAACUAAAUCUUGUCCCCACUAUCCAUUGCCUCACAUGCUUUUGAAUGAGAAUAGCAAACCUCCAUCUCCUUGUCAAAACUUCAAAUUCGCACCUCGCCUUUUCACCUCGGAUAACUGUUUUUAAUCACAAAAGCCCAAUAAAGUAUAGUAAGGUGGGUGAAGCUCAACAUAAAUUGAAUGAGUUUUCUCAAAAUAGAAAAAUAGAAAUGCUUGAAGAAUGACAGAAAUGAUUAGAAUCCGAAAGUCCAUCCAGUUAAUGCAACCAUAAAACACUAUUAUAUUAUAGAACAAGUGCAAAUGUUUCACUGUAUAUGCACAAAAAGCCUGGUCAAAAAUCAAUAUUUACAGCAAGAGAAUAGCUACUCCCAGUGCAUGUAGAAGCAUUACAUGAUUGUAAUGUAGUUGCCCCCUUCCUCAGCCGUUGAUAGAAAUUAUGAGCUUGAAGACCACGAAAGUUCUUCUGAACCCAAACAAUCCCCUGUAGAAUUCUAUUUCUAGCAUCUUCCAGUACAGCAAUCUGAAUACAUACACAUGCCAGAAAAGAUCAAUCAACAAUAACAGCAUACAAAAGGCAGAUGUUAAAAAGGUAUGUUACCAUAAGAUUAUGGUAGGUGUGACUGCUACAUUUAAAAACAUGAUUCGUCUUACCGGUCCAUACCGAUAUAUCAACCAGCUGUUGGUAUGAGACAUACCGAGCUGUAUUGAGUCGUACCGAAUGAUUAUGAUAGGAAGUAAUAAGUGAUUGUAAACAAAAGAUUCAUGCAUCAGAUUGGAACAAGCUUGAAUGAGGCUUCCAUAAACAUCAUUAAUGGUCAGCUAUGGUUAUGAUUUUGGUAUCUAUUUGUAGAUUAAUAUAUAGCUUGAUAAUGAUUAAAAAACCUCAUAGGCUCAGAAAGAUACUACAAGAACUGACAUGAAUAGGGAAUCUUCAAGCUUCAGAAAUAUAUUGAAAUUCUGAGGCAAUUGAGAAUUAUACCAAAUUCAUUAAUGAUGAUCAAAAUUUGUGAACUUAGGAAAAUUUAUUUUUCCUUCGUAACCUAGAGUUGAAUAAAAAUAUCACACCAAGUACUUUUCCUGUAGUUUGGAUUAUAGGAUGUACACUAAAUUAUUGUAUUAGAACUAUGACACCCAUAUACCUUAGUGAUCCCACAUAAAGAGAGGUGCUUGGGUUGUUCUAUACAUAUUCACAUCAGCUGAUAAAGGAUCAACGUGUGUACCUAACUAGAAUGCUUUACUAGUAAGUAAUGACUGGUUCAGCAUGUUUAAUGGAGAAUCUCAUCAUAAUCGUGCAUGCCUGAAACAUUUAAGGACAUUUAAGAAUGAUCAAAAUAGAUACUAUCAGUCUAAAAACUAAGAAGUGGGUUAUGUUUUCAAUGUUACAGAAUACAGACAUAUAUGGACAAUUUUUAAGUUCUGAUGCAUCACAAUAAGAAAACUUAAUAGAAAACGCUCAUUAGAAGAAGUUUCAAUACCUAAUUUAUAUAAGUUCUGAAACUCUGUUGUCAAGCACAAAAGCAAAUAAUAGAUAUCAAUACACGAAAUUGAACAGUUACAGUUCAAUUACAACAUAAAAAAUAUGUAUAUUUGGUUUUAUUCUUGUAAACACUAAACUUGAAACAUCACUGUCAUAUAUCCUAUCAUUUAUCCAAAAGAUAGUCGUUUAACUGCAAAGGUAGUCUAGUUCAAUGAACCUUCAAAAACUCUAAGCUCCGACAGUCCUCGAGGACAAACAAAAGCUCAGAGAAAAAGCAUAAAUCAAUGGUUAUUAUGUAUGAGAGAGAACAGGAACAAGAUAUUUAUGAGAAUGCAAUUGUCUGUCUACUUCAAGUGAACCUUUAGAUUAGGUUUUAAUAACCAGCAUAGACAUGUCAAACAUGCAAAAGGGAUAAAUGUUAAAGAGAUAAUGAGAAAGAAAUUGCCUGUCCUGUGCGGAAAAAUAACUUUGUGUAACCAACUCUAUACAUCUCAGGUGGCACAUUGAAUUGCUGUAGGAUGGAAACUGACAAACUGAGUGCAUCCUGAGAACUUGAAGUCUGUAAAAGAAGAAAGCCAUACCUAGAAGGGAAAAAUAUAAGCAUGUCAGAAUCCCACAAAUAUUGCUCCAUUACAUUCUUGAGGCAAAAGAAAAUUUCACAAAUUACCUUUCAGCAAAUAGUUGAUGUGUCAUUCGAGUUGGAUAGCCUGACCUGGAUAUCCGGACAACUUCAAGGACCCCACAGCAUCUUAGCUGUUGUAACACAAGAUCAUGUUCGUACAUGCUGGGAAGUUGCUUGCUGUUUGGCUUGAUGCACCGAAUGAAAUGGGGAGUAGUACUUUCUAACCGCUGCAUCAACUUGAAAAGUUGACCCUAGGAUCAUUUUAAAGUAUUUCAAAGUUCAGUUUGCCUUCAAAUUUAGAUCAAAAUUUCCAAGAUCAACCACAAGAUUUCACUAACAUUAGUCCAAGUCCUCUGGCAUGCCAUGCAGAACUCCCUUCUACAUGUGGAAGUUGUAUAAACUAUGCAGUCUAAACAAAUGAAAGAAAAUGGUUGAACCUCUUAAGAAACCCACAUAGACGCUUGUGGUUUCAGUCAUUGUUAGAAUAUUACUAAAUGCAACUGGAGAUCAUGACUUACCAAAGACAGAAGCAACAUCCUUUUAGGUAAGGACAAAAGCAUCAUGAAGUACUGUGCUUAUCACAGCACAGAGGAUGCACCAGAUAUGUCAAUUCACAAUGGCAUGCAGGCAUUUUCUGGCUCAAAAUAGACCAGUUUUCUCUUCAUGAUACGCACAUGGCUAACAAAUACUAUCAUUGUAUGGCAUUGUACAAUCAUGUCAGCCAGUAGUCAUUAUUGUGUAUAUCAGAAUAUUUUAAACUUCUGUGUGACUGAAGUCUGACAAUACGUGAUUUACAAAAUCUGCAGAUACAUCAGCAGAAGUAAAAUGGCAUCACAACAAAUAUCCAAUCAAGACUAUGAUUCAUGGUUUGCAGUAUAAGCCAAGUCCAAAACAAAUAUCCCUAAAUUUUCAUGUAGGGAUCCUAGAACAAUCCAAUAGAUCCUGACAUAUUUCUGGCAAAUCUUGGUGGUAUGAUCAAUUAUAGUGCUAGUCAAUCCAUUUUACACAGAUCCCAGACAAAUUCCUGCUGAUCUUAAUACUCACCAGUGAACUUCUAGAUGAUCCCAAUCAUUGUCCAACCAACCCUAGCUGGUUUUUUAUCAAAAAUCCAUUUGCAUGUGGAUUCAAGGAAGCAAUGUUCUAUCUGUAAAGCUCUUUAUGAGUUAGAGGUUCAAGGAAGGCUUCUGGAGCCAGAAUUAUAUAGCAAAAGCAAUUUAAAUGUAAAUUUAAAUCAAUAGUGCAAUGAAAUAUUGUGAGAUAUUUUAGGUGUUUAGUUUUCUUGAACAAAGAAAUUUUGGAAAAUAAUACAUAGAGAUGUACAAACGAUAAAGAGGAAGCAGUAGAGGAGGAAGAAAAAUGAAAAAGGGGUGGAGGAAGAGAAGGAAGAAGAGGUGGGAGUAUACCUAGGAAGAAGAAGGAACACAACGAUGGCGGCAUCACAAAGCAACAAUGGCUUCGUGAAGCAGCAGCAAUGGCAAUGACAGCAACAUCACGAAGCAACAACGACGGCAGAAGCAUCGCGAGAAGAGGGCUCAUGUUCACAAGCCCAAGUUUUUUUUUUUUUUUUCCUUUUUUAAUGCUGAGCUAGACAAGCCCCAUUAUUAUUUUGGGUUUUUUUUCUUUUUUGAGUUGGACUGAACCACCCGAAACAGGGUGGUCUGCAGACCGGUCCAUGUCCAAACCGAUAUAUCCUUUAUAAGAAUUUUUGUACUAAAAUGACUCAAGGUUAUAUAACCUAAACACAUUAGACUAGUGUAAAUAAAUCCUAAUAUUUCAAAUUUUGAUAAACAUAAACAUAUAUAUAUAUAUAUAUAUGAUUUUUUUUUGUAUUUUUCUUACCUAUUCAAUCCUGCAUGACAUGCUGGAUCCUAGUCCUUGAUCCUAGGAUGGAUAUUGAUUGUGCAAACCUUAAAAGGAGCUAAUACAAACCAAAAGACAAGGAAUCAAGCACGUUUAGACUAUCAAUUAAAUUGGGCUAUGAUAGGAUAUUUGAAAACUGAAAAGUCUUAGAAGCUUACCAUUUACAGCCCCUUUUUUACUAUUAACAAUCCCUUAAAAAAAUAAAAUAUUAUUUUAUUUUUUAUAGCCCCAGUAUUAUCGAUUUUAUCCCCUUUUUUUUCUUUUUUUUUUCUUCCUCGCAACACUUUAUUUUAUCUUGGCUGCCGACAUCACUAUGCUCAUUGCCAUCGUUGUUCACCGCUCAAUGCCAACGCUGUUCGACCCCACUCGCCACCCCCUCAACGUCGUCCUCCAAGGAGGAAGAAGAAGAUGAGGAAAAGGAGAAAGAAGACGAGGAGAAAGAAGAGGAAGAAGAUGGUAAGUAUGUCCAUUUGCAAAGGGAUAGUUUAAAAAUAUUAAAAAUAAAAUAAAAUAAGGUUGUAAAUAAUAGAAUUGCAAAUAGUAACCUCCAAGCUUAUAUGGUUUGAACAUGUACGACAGACAAGAUGGGAAGAAAAGAACAUGAAAGCAAGACACCAUAAGCAUGAAACUUGGACACUAACAGGGCCUUGACCACGAAGGUGCUUCAAAGGAGAUGAGGUAGAUGAACUUGACUACCAAUAUGAAAUAACAAAUGGCGAUCCCUCAUGGAAGAACUAUUGCAAGAAGCUACUGACAACAGGCAAAGGCAAAGCUAAAUAAAGUGAGAUAAACCCUCCAAUCUAACAUGAUCACUGAAAAAUCAGAAAUCAAAUUUUCAAGAAAGACACCCAACUUUCUUGCAUCUUGGAAUAGAUUGGUAACCAACUUGAUACACAAAUUGAAAAAUCAAACAAGUUCUGAGUCAUCAAACAAAUAUUCCAAGAUAUCUGAGUAAAGCAAAAAUCUCCAAUUUUGUCCUUGAACUUGACAAGAACAAGAGACUUAGUUUCAUGAAAAAAUAACAACUCAGUUAUAGACCAAAUGGGAAUUAGUUCAACUGAAAGCAAACUGUGCAGACAAGAUAUGGACCACUUUCACUUAUUAUGGUAGCACAGACAUGCAUUAUUUUUCAGAAAUGAAUGCAUAGCAUAUGUAACUCAACUAGAUGCAAGCCACACAUAUUAAAUAGAAAAUCAUCCAUGCCAAAAAGAACAUGGGAAGCAAAAUCAAUAAUAUUAUCUCCAAGAUGACUGGAUAUUUACUUCCCAUUUCAAAUGAGGAACUACCUUAAAUUUUGCCACAACGCUUUGCUUUUGUAGGUCAAAACUACUUGAUUGCCGAAACCGGCUUGACUCCUUCUCAGGUUGCAGUAUGUUGUUGGCAAAUGACUGUGGAAGCUGGCAAGCACAUGACAAAAGUAACUGGACCAAAUCAGCAUGCAAUGUAUCUCUGUUCUUCUCCAGGAAACCACUUGAAUCAUAUAAAACCUGUUAUCCACCUAAUUGUUAGUCUAUGGAAGUUAACCAGCGAAUAAAUUGUUGGUUGCUUAAAAUGAAAAAAUGAUUUAAGCACGCUAACAAAUCUAAUGAGAUAUAACUCAUUUGAUGCCUUGUUCAGAGACCAAAAUUUUUUUUAUAAAAAAGUUGAAGUAAUACUGUAUGCUCAUCAACUAAGGAAAAAUGAACCCAGGAGAAAGUAUAUACUUUUCGUUGAUCUGAUUCACUGCACUAUUUACUUGGGACAAUAUCUUAGUUGACGUUAUUUAAUGUUUCAGAACACUACUAUUUGCUUCCUGUAAAGGGUGAACCUUGAUACAACAAUAAAGUAACUUGAUUGUCUAGGAUUCAAGUCACAAAAACAAGCUUUUACUUCUAGGACAAACCACCCCCAAACCCCACAAUGACAGAAGCCAUGUGUGCUGGGUCAUCUCUUUUACUAUUUGCUUGUUGUCAGAGUUGAGUACAACUUUUAGUGAUUGAAAUAAAUAUUAAUAAAUAAAUUACAAGAUGCUGAAUUAAUAAUUCCACAGAUCUGCUUUAAAAGAAACAAUUACAUAAUCUUUUCUUGAAAAUCUAUAGACAUUUUCCCACGUUAUGGUUCCAAUGAAAAUCAUCAACACUAUAUGCAGUCCAAGCCAAAUGGCAUAUUCAAGAUAGAAUUUUCUUUAUGUGCAAAAAACAAAUUUCAUAUGAAAAGUUAAUAUAAUCAAGAGUAUAACUUCAUUGAACUAAAAAUGGAUUUCAUAUAUUACAGUAACCAAAGAAGAGACUUUAAAUUCUAGCAAAAACUGUUCAGGGAAGCAGCAUAGAAUCUGACCUCUCCGGCAUAGUGGGAAAUCCUAAAAGUACCUCCCCUUUCCCCCUUAAAGCAGUGAUUACCAGCGAAGUGCUGCUUAAGUUUGUUAGCAAAAGUCAUAUCAGUAGCUUUGGGAAAAGUCGACUCUUCAUCUAAAAGUGAUAUUACCCCUAGAGGUUUCUGUAAUGAAUGAAAAAGCAAGAUUUAACAUAAUUCCAAUAUAUUAAAAUUAUAGACCAUGAAAUUGUUCUCAUUAACAGAGAUGAGGAAAUAUGCUUGAUAGUAUUAGAUAUAAUUAUUUUGGCAAAAGCAAGCAGAAGAAUGCAAAGAAUCCCAAUGCUGUCAGGUACCUCAAAAAAAAAUAAAAAUGUAAUCCAAAAUAUAGCAUAUAUGAUACUGAAAAAUAAUUCUAGAAUUACAGGUAGCAACCUUAUCUCGUUCAUGGGAACAUCAAGACCAUUAAUGUAAGCUUAAAACCUCAUGAGUUGUUCUCAAAUUAAAGCUCAUACAAGAUUAAUUGAGUCAUGCAUGACCCUAUUGAAAAGCCAGGAUAUAGCCGAAAGUUUAGUACUUAGCAUUGCCAAUAUUUAAGAUUUGCUAAGCAUUACAAUAAGUCUGCUUAUGUACAGCACAAAUUUUCUGUUAUAUUAGUCCUUGUUUAAACAUUUACAGUUAUAGGAUAACAUCAAACUCAUAGAUAAGAACAUUAAAGACCAUGUUAUUCAGUAAUUGAAGUCCAUAUUAAGAUUAGUUGAACUCAACAUUUACCAGUUAAAACCAGAAUAUGGCUAAUUAUAAUAGUUGAAGAUUAGGUUCCACAGUUGCACACUACAAAAUAAUUUAAUUAAACAAACAAGGUUCUCUUUGGAUUUCUCUAAGUUAAAAUGAGGGUUAUAGCAAGGUACAAAGGGUCAACGAUUCAGAUACCAAAGUGUACUGACCUACUUAGUAUACCAAUAUGAAAUACUACUAGUAUGCUAACAAUAUUGAAGUAAAACUAACCAUUGUGGAAUAAAUGGGGGACGAGCCAGUGGCCUCAUAUCAAGGUCGAGGAAACUUGCAGCUAAUAAGCAAGAGCCUCACUCUUUCCUUUUGAGGUGCAGGCUCAUCCCUUUCCUUUUGAGGUACCGUUAUUUAAGGGCAUACCAUGUGGUACCAAAGCAGACAAUAGUUUAAGGAAUAGACAAAUCCUCAAACCCAACAUUUGAUUAACAAUUGGAUGCUAUACAAGUGUUUUACAACCUUACUUGAUAGAAGUUUCAUAAAACCUCCCUUGAUAGGAAUACAUCGGGUGACAAACUAAUAGCCCCAUGUUAGGUAGACUCAAAAUGACAAUCAUGCUGCCCAUGGACCACAUGGCCAAUACCUAAAAGACACCAUAGAUCAUCAAACCCCCAAAAUUUGAUGAUGAAAUGUUGGUGGCCGUUCAUGUCCCCACUAUACUCAUCCCAACCAGGGGCUAGACAAACCAAUAGUUGCACAUCAAGGAGACUCGAGGAAAGAUUGUGGCUCAUAAGAAAGGAUCCACCCCUUUACCUUCGAGGUCUCUUUUUCAAGAGUAGAACCAUAUGGCCCAUGAUCAAAUCAGACAAUAUCUCAUGGAACAUAGUACAGAUAUAAUUGUCGAUGCCGACCAAAUCAAAGCAACACAAACAUACAGUACCAGUAGAAUGGUAAUUAAUAUAAACCAGAAUUUAAAUCAUUGCUAAUAGCCCUACAGCAAGUUACAAACUAGAUCACAAGUGAUGUAGAUAGACUAGAACACUAUGUUAAGCCUACUUUAUGAUUCAGAACCAAAGAUACACCAGCGUGGAAAUACUAUAUCCAGAACACUAUGUUAAACCUACCUUAUGAUUGGGAACUAAAGAUACCCCAGGGUAAAAAUCCUGUAUCUGGACCACCCAAAUCACCUGGACCACAUAUUUGGAUGAGUGAAUUCAACAUUCAGGCCAAUUGGAUCAAAAGGACCAUAUGACUAUGUUGGUUCAAGUUUACCAUUUGGGCCCAAUAGUUAAAAAAGAUUGUUAUUGUUUAAACAAAACAAAUUGAUAUGGUUCAAUGUAGCAAUGGAUAGAGAAAUAAAAUUUCAGCGGAGGAAGCACCAUAAGAAAAAAACCUUGGAAUUGGUACAUUUUAGGUAGCAAUUUUUUUAUUUCUCUAGCAUGGAGGUUCUUAAUAUCAUGGAGGUUCCCCUCGCUCCCUAAUCCUAGGAUUUGGGCCCUCCAACCAUUAACACUAUUCACGCUGUUAUCAUGCCUGGAAUCACAUUAAAUUUUAAAUAAGUACAACCACAUUGAACUUUCCUAAUCAAUCAUAUAAUGCUUGGGUGUGAAACAACCACCCCCUAGGGUUAUCUUUGGCUUCAUACGAAAGUUAAAUAUAGUUAUAAUCCACAUGUUAGAUCUACCACAAAGUCACAAGCAAUCAACUCGAAAGAAACAUUUCAUAAAUUACAACAUUUCUGAACAUACAACAAAUACCUUCUCCAAGAGGUUUAGACAAUUGGCGUUAUCCAAAAAUUCAACUUUGGCCCAAUCAAUUCCAUCUUGGGCAUAUUCCUACAGAAAGCAAGAAUAGAAAUAAGGAUAUUCAUUAAACACUGGCAAUUAGACUAAUAACACCUAUUAAAAAUUCAAUCAGAUUGAUGGCAAUUUUCAAGGGAAAAAGAUCCUAACGUAUAAAGGGAUUAAACCAUAGACCAUACUCAUUUAAAAAGAAGUGUCAACAUAUAACCAACACAAAGACUAUCAUGUUAUUGAUAUGUGCACUGACUAGGCACUGAGGUAUGCCAAGAACUGCAAGUUGUCAUGAUUAUGCAGCAAGUGGGAAUUUCUGAUCACUAAGGUUGUCUUCGAAAUGUAUUUCAAGUGCAUGAUGAACUCAGCACAUGAUUUUUCUUAGAAUGAAGCUCAAAUGAACCUGUGCUAGGAAUUGCAAAUACUGCAUUUGGAAGUAGCGAUUACGAAGAAGCAAAAAAAUCAAAUCCUGUGGAAAUGCAUUACUAAACUGGUUACCAGACCAGUCAAAACUUGUCAAUAUCAUUAAAAACUCCGAAUCAAGCUGGACUUAGGAGUUGGAUGGGUGAUAGAGAAAGGAAAUAGAUGUCUGUAUUAUCCUUCUAAGGCCCCGAGUUGUAUCCUAUAUCCAUAUAAAAAAUCAUAGCAGUUAUAGGAAAUGCAUAUUUCAUCUUUUGAAUGUCAAGUAGUAUUGGUUAGUUUACGCAAUCUGACCUCUUCCUCCAGUAAGGUGUAGAGUGAAAUUUAUCUACUCACACGUCUGUCCUCCUAUUUUAAGUAUUGCAACAUUAGUGAAUCUGCAUGGUUUCAUCUGCAUGUACAUGCUUCAAAAUUAUGCCAUUUUUAAUCUAAGUUCCAUUUCAUUUUAUAUUUCUUUUCUCUUUUCUUCCAACAUAAUUCCACCCAGAGCAGUUACGUACAGAAUCAAACAUUGAAUUUCCUUGUACAAGAAAGAUGCAAUGUCAAACAGUAUAACUAGACAGUAGAUACAGUAGAGUUCAGAUGUUAAAUUAUUAAAACCCAACAAUCAGAUUUUGAAAUAUGCCAAUUAUUUUAACUGACAUGAACAGUGACCAGUCUUUCAUGUUUAAACCAUAUUGCACACGGUAUGCUUAUUGCAUUUUCUACUGCUUUAGUCACAGGCUUCUCCUUUCAUUUUCAAAAAAGAAAUGUGCAAGAUAUAGAAGUGGUAAGCCCACUUUUACUUAAAUUAUUUAUAAGUAAAUUAUAUUUUUAUAAUAAAGUGAUAAAAUAUUUAGCAAAGAAUUCUGCUCAGCAGUAUAAGAAAAUAAAGCAGCCCACUAGUGGAAAGAAAUAACAGCAGUGUCAAAAAACUUAGAACCUGCCUCCUGUUCAAGUUUAAAUAGAUGACGAUUGAAGUGCUGUUGUAGUUGCUCGUUAGCAUAAUUGAUGCAGAACUGUUCAAACCCAUUGUUCUGCAAUGGUUCAAAUGUUAGUCCAACAAAAAAGAAACAUAAUGUGAAGCAGAUAUUAAAUUGAAUGUAACCAUAGGAUCCAUACAUUAAAAGACUCAAAACCAAAAAUAUCCAAAAUUCUGAUCGAUCGUCCAGUACAGCAUUUGCCUACUCCAAGUGACUUGUUGAUUUGUCCCACAAGCCAGUCAAAUAAAUUACAAUAAAUUGAUUUUGCCAAUGCAUCCCUGGUGUUGAUUGCCUGCAAUAAGAAAGAGAUACAAGAAAAAAAGACAUAUGAAGAUUGGGCAUUACCAUAUUGAUGGAGAAGAGUACACAUGCAAAUUUGGACCUGCUGUAAUGUAAGCUUUUGAACAAUACUGUCGUUGCCAGCUUGAAUUUUACGAGUUGAUAAAGAUAGCAUCAAAUUUGGUACUUCACAACCCAUCAACUUUGCUGCAUUAGUUACUCCUGCACACAGACAAACUCCCAAAAAAUUACAUGAUAUAUCUUCCAAAAUGAAAGAACUUUAACUGCCUCCUUUAAUAUAAUAAAAUGUGAAUAUGAAAACUUAUUAUCUAUUAAUCUUUUAGCCUAAAGAAGAUUAAAUUUUCUUCAUCCUCUCAUACCCAGUAAAUUGCAACAUACUAGACUUUUGUUACCUCAACUAGACUUUGGAAUAAAAACAAAGUAAUAUUGUGGUAUGGCUUCUCAAAAGAAUUGCACCAAGUUCCAUAAUUGUUUGGAGCGGGAAAACCAUAUUUUUAUUAUGAUAUGUCAAUUAUGUUUUUGAAUGAAGCCUUCAUAAUUUUGUAUUUUCAACUUGGAUGGCAUAACUCAAUAACACUGGCCAUUCAAACUCUAAACUUUAGAUAAGGGUAUUUAACCAAGCAUGUGAUUUGCAUUCAGCUAGAGUUCUUGUUUCUUAGGUUAAACAUAGAAACUUCUCCAAUACAAGUGCUGGACCAGUAAGUAGCGUCAAAAUUCAUUUGAAGCUUCUAAUGUUAAACAAACAUGCAAGAGGCAUCAUCAAAGAGUUUGAGGCACCAAAUACUGGGAACAAGAGAAGAGACAGCGAUUUAUGUUACACAUAUAAAAUAGUAUACCUUCACCAAGGAUAACUUUGACAUGAUUUUCGUUGUCAAUCACUGAGAAAGCAAUGUUACCCAGCCAUAGUACUGCUGCAAGCAUGGAGAACACAUUCUUCUGAUCUUCCUUUGAGAUCUUGAUGACAUCUAAGGCUUCCUGGAGAAUUUUUUUUCUAAAAAAUUUAAUGCCAAUUUUUUUAAAAAAACUUCAAUAAAAAAGUUCAAGGUAAUAUAAAAUGGGCCUAGGUGAGCUACUGAAAUUUACCAUUAAUACAUGAAAUCUUUUUGCAUCAUCAACAUUAUCUAUGGUCAAGCAGUCACUCUGCUUCAAGUAUUCAUAUUUGUAGGCUGCUUUCAGAUUCAACUCCUCUGCAUAACAAGAGACACAUGAUAUGACAUAAGUUUACAAGAGACACAUGAUAUGACUAAAGAUUUUCAGAUUUACGAGCCUAUCAGGAUAACUGAGUAAAUGCAGUAACUGAAAAAGUUUGUAUUUGCUAAUAGAACAGAAAAACAAUUUACAAGGUAUUUAUCUGGGUGUUUCCAAAUUAUUCUACCCUCAUCAUCAAAUCUUUUGACUGAUUACUGACACAAAAAAUGACUUAUUUUAUCAUUUUACAGCUUGCAAUUUUUGUAUUAAUUAAUUAUCCUUGCUAUAAAUAGGGAAAACAAAAUAAAAAGAAAUCUGCACUAUAAUAGCAUCAGAAAGUACCCAUAAUAUAUCUUAAACAUCAAAUAAGGGAAUAAUAACAAAAUUUAACAACUAAGGCCAUAAUAGAAAAACAUGAUCACCUUUAAGACCACAAGAAGCUCCAGCACAAAGUUGAUAGAAUACAUGAUAUGACCUUUCACCUGUUUCUCUCUGAACCACUCUUGACUGCUUGUACAAGAGAAAAUUUUCAUACACCAUUAAAUAUCAUAUCAAUAACAUUAUUCUAAUUUAAGAUAUCUUUUAACCUUUGUAGGAGUACCUUUUCGAGUAAGACUUGCAUGCAUCAAAGUUUGAAGAAUAAGAGAGGAGAAAAAGUCAGUUGAUAUAUAAAACAUAAAAUGAGAAGCAGCAAACAGGCAUAAUUUCUUACAGGUUUGGAUCUUAGCACCACAAAUUUUUCCAGUGGCACUAAAAUGUAUUUCAAUUAGCUUUCCCUGCAGCAUAUAAAUAAACAUAUUUUCAAACAAUAAUCAAAUUGGAAGCUCCAUAUUGGCAUUACUGAGGGUUACAUGUCCAUUAACAAGUAAAAAAUCUGGUGAAAAUAAAUAAAAUUUUCAGUGGACUUGGGCAAACUCACAAAUCGGCUGGAGUUGUCAUUUCUUGAAGUUUUUGCAUUUCCAAAUGCUUCCAGUAUUGAAUUAGUCUGCAAAACCUCAUCCUCUAUGCUGCCACCACCCCCAACAUCUGCAAGAUACUGCAUUGCAAAUUUCGUUGUCUCGGUUUUACCAGCACCACUUUCACCACUGUGACUCAUUACACAGAAUAGUUCAUCAAGCAAAGCUAACUCAAUUUUUCUAUCUAAUUAACAAGCAGAAGAAGCAUAAAUAGGUUAAAGUUUCACAUAUUCCUACGGAGAGAAAAGAUAUAACCACCUUAUUAUGAUAGAUUGAUCUACUCCAUCUGCAGAACCCGCACACAGGAAUUAUCAAUUAGUCCAGAAAUUCAUGUAACCACUAAUGGGCAUAACUAAGAGAACUGCACAAUUUUCAACAAAAGACACUUGUCUACCUCUCAUCAUUUCAUUAAAAGCAGUAUCCGCUAUUGCAAAAAUAUGUGGGCUGUCUUUGAGUUUCUGCUUGUAAGCUGUAACAUAAUCUCUUCCAUAAAGGGGCACCUCUUUGAAUGGAUUGACUGCAACCAAAACAGGCCCUGCUUUGGUCUAAAGAAAGGAAAAGAAACCAGCAAAUAAGUUAAAGCAUAGAAAACACAGGAAGAGUUACCGGGAGUAAUGUCUGUUCAAAAACAUGCUUACAUAAAUAAAAUCAUUGGCAUAUCGGUAUUUAAUAUUGUGGAGAACUGCAGGUUCAUUUAAGUAACUAAGUUGUAUAAGAUUGUCAACACCAUCAAGGAUAUGUGGAUUGGCAGGUAAGAUACUUUCCCUGGAAACUGAAUGAACCUGAAUAGAAACACUAGUUAGUACUUGGGUGCCAUUCAUUCAAAUGCUGCAGACUUACAACCUACAGAUUAAAAACUUACAUUGCCAUUAGACAGCAAAAUAUCUACAUAAUCUCUGGAAAUUGUAUGGAUCUGGCCCAGCUCCCACCUGGCAUUGGAGAUCCAACACCAAACCUGCAGGUUCUGAAAUGAAGAAGACACCAUAAGUAACGUGCUUGACAAAUUUCCUAAAGAAUAAAUAUGCCAAAGAAUCAAGCAUAAAUUUUGUACAUGUCAGAGGAAGUUCAACCAUUUUAGAUCUGAAACGGUGCAGCAGAAUUACAUGUUGAUUUAAGCAAAUCUCCAAUGUCAUUAUAGUGAAUUAAUUCCAUGAAUCCACGUCAAAGUUACCAUGUUUUUCCUUGGAAAAGAAAAGGCUAACAUGCUUGGACAAAAUAAAAUGAGUCACAAAUUCUGAACCAUGUCAUGGCAACGACAGCAAUGUUUCUUGUAAUCAAGCAAAUCAGAGAACAUAAUGAUGACAUUUUCUGAAAAAUACUAAUACCUUCUUUAGGGCAUAUUUAAUUGUGUCACACCAUUCUGACUUGUCAUCCAGCAACACUGCUGAUGGCAACUGGACAGCAGCACUCGCUCGAUUAUCGGUUACCUCCACUUUUUCCUCAUAACUGUCUCUCUUUGUAAUCUUGAUAUAUGGAGAUUCUAAUGGUCGCUCCACCUUUGCCAUCCUCUUACUUUGAAGUAUUCCACUUCUAAACACCGCCCCCUUAUCACCCCUUGGCAUGUCAUAUUCCGUCUUGUCAUCCCACUUCAUAGAGUCCGUCAAAAGUUCCUCAGGUGCACUUCUGUCUAGUUUAAGAUUGACGGCCAACGACCUUCUUGAGGUGGGGAGGCGUCCCCUCGAGGUGGGGCGGACCGGCAAAGCCGGUGGCAGAUCUUUUGGCUGCUCAUCCCUCAGCCUGAUAGUAUCCAGCAUCACCUCCAGUGAGCUCCGAGCGACGGUAGGAGUCAUAGUGGCAGCUGACAUGAUUCCAAACCCCCAAAUUGAAAAUAACUACCAAAAUGACAACUUUCUCAAUGCAGAACAAGAAAGCCGCAAUCUUUUUUGGAGUUCCUGCAGUACAGAGUCAAAAAGAGAUAUUUCCUGCGGAUUUAGUUCAAGUAACACGACCCUGUAACACUAUACUCGGAACACAUUGAGCACAGGGGAACCAAAUAAGAACCUGGAAUCUAUCCCGCCCUUGCCGAAGACCCUGAAACUUGGAAUCAAGGCAACGCCCACGCAAGAAAGCCUUCAUCACCGAGGACAGGGAGGAAGGCGGAGAUGGAGAUCACCGUAAUGCUCCAAAAAUCAAACUAAAACCCGAGUUACCAGCGUUGCUGUAAGAAGAGAUGGGGGCUAAAAAACAAAAAAAAGCUUCCUUUGAAGGGAAAACUAGGGUUUGUUUCCCCGGGAAUUCAAAUUUUCGCAAUGGAGCACGGGACCCAUCCGUCCCUUUUCUUCUACUUCUCCACAGUAACAGCAGAAAUCAAGAAAACGAAAGCGACGGGUUCUCGAAAGGAAAGCCCUUCGAUGUGGAGAAAAUUACGCGCACGGGCAAUGGCAAGGAGACGAGAGGCGCUCGUGCUUGAGAUGGCGGUUCGGGUAAUUCGCGAGACGGGAACGGCACUGCCCUUCGGCCCACCGUCAAUGUCGAAGGGGUCCGUUCGAAGCCCGUUGGAUGUCGAGGGUCGAGAGCGCAUCUCCAACGUUCCACAACAAGCGAACGUUCCAUGUGACGGCAUCGACCUCAUAUCAGCCACCAGAAAAGAACUCAUUCCGCUGAAGCUUCUGUUGCAAGCAGCAGCCAAAGAAAGGUAUCAUGAGCUUAUCUUAGAAGUUCCAAGUCACAUAAUCUUGCACGAGAACGCUGGUCGACGGAAAGAAAGAGACUCUAUGGUAGGUUACAUGUAAUAUAUUGACAGGACCAUUGGGUUUGAACGUGUUCUUGCUCAGGAGAAGUAGCUGGGAAGAUUGAAAUUUUCGAUUUGUUUGGAUCAGUGUCGGAAUCAUAAUCUCCAGUAUGCAUUCCCCAUCGAAUGGCAUAUUUCAUUCGAUCGGCUGCAUGACAUCAAUUAAGUAAUGUUUAUGAUUUAGAAGGGAUCAGAUAUUUGCAUCUGUUCUUCGAGCCGAAUCGAACCCGAUGAAUCAAAUCUAUCGUUACUUGGAGACGUUGGAUCGGACCACCCGACCAUCACACGGUACACAAUCGACGGUGCCAAGCACAUAAAGCCGAGAACACCCCGAAUAAUUUUCGUUCGACGCGCUUUCGCUGCCCGAACGAUCCACCUUUCUUCUGAUUGGAGGAAUCGAAUAACGCGGGUCCCACAUGAACGCCGUUGUCUUUCUAUUUGCGCCGAAUGGGUGAAAAGAAACGGUGAAUCGAGCGCACCCUGCACGCAAAUUGGGACCGUUGGUCGAUGAAUCCCACGAAUCUCGAAGCAGCCGUCGCAGUCGGGAAGCCAUGACGUCAAGACAAAGGCAAAGACUAAAGAUUCCGAGCCCCCCAGCCGACACCCAUGUCUGUCACCGGAUCGAUCCUGACCGUCAAACGCGCACAUAACAGUGUAUGCGCCGAUCGUUCGUUUCUCGCUUUUUACGGUGUCUUUUUGGUAUGAUGGUUUGUGUGCGUCCGAAGCGCUGCUGUUGAUAGUAUUAAGGGAUAGCACCAACUCGUUUUUAUGUAUGGAGCUUCCGCACCCUCCCCUUCGUUCUCUCGUUCGUCGUCCUCGAUUCUUUCUCCUCCUCGAUCGGGCGAACCCAAUCCAACUCACCAGACCCCUCAUAGCUCUCUUCCUCACUCUCAUGGCUUCCAAUUUACGGCUUCGUGAUUCUUGAUUGGGAGCUCUCGACCAGGAUCUGCGGUUUCAUCUCUUCUUAUUCUCCUACCAUCUCGUCUUUAUGUCGUCGCCUACAUCGGUGUCGCUGUCAGGGGGCAAGAUCUGCUUCAACUCCCAUUGCAAGGAGGUUAUACUGGACCACACGCCUCCGCGGAAGAAGGGGGGGUGGCGCCUUCGUUCUGGCGAGAUCGCUGAGCUCUGCGACCGCUGCUCGUGCGUCUUCCCCCUUCUCUCUCUCUCUCUCUCUCUCUCUCUCUCUCUCUCUCUCUCUCUCUCUUGUUUUUUUCGUUUUGCAAAUCUCCCUUUUUACUGUUAAGAAAAAGGUCUUUUCCACGUUGGAUGGUUUCUAUAAAUGAAUUUGGUUGUUCUGGAGUUGGGCGCUUCGGUGCUCAGAUUUGAUCGGGCGAUGCUACUUGCUGCAUCAUUAGAUCAUCGGGGGCCUGCGGCUGCGGCGGCUGUUCUUUUAUCGACAUUCCCUUCCUUUUGUUAUCCUGACUUUGAGGUUUUCAUCUUUACGUACUAACAGUCUAUUAGUCGUGUUAUGUUGUGAUUGCUUGCUGAAUUGGUGUUCUGUCGUUGCGGAUGGAGAAAAGGUCACAUAUUUGAAAUAUGUUUCUUUUAUACGUUUUUUUUUUCGUGUUGGGAAGGGCGGGGGGGUUGAGGGAGGAGGCGGGGGCUGAACGUAUGUAAGGAAGUGCAAUAGGAUGGUACUUUUUCUGCUUGUGAUAUUGGAUAUGCGGUUCUGAAGGGUCGAACUUCCUUUUUGUUUCUUGGUCUACUGUUGUCUUCAAUUUGUGCUCUUCGUAAGAUUUGGUUUCGUGUCUUUGUGGUGAUGGAUGUACGGUUCUAAAAGGUUGAGCGUUCUUUUUUUUUCCUUUUUCUACUGUUCUCGUCAGUUAGUAGUGCCCUUCGUAAAGAUUUGCCCGGGAUUUUUUUCGUUUCCCUGUAGCUGCGCUUUUGAGCAAGGGUCUUUCUGCGAGACGUUUCACUCUGAUGUUGCUGGUUGGAGGAACUGUGAGGCGUGUGGCAAGGUUAGAAAAUAAAGUCUCAGUUUUUAUUCUAAUCAGUAAGAUUAGCAUGUGCGCGUCUGGCCUCACCCCGAAAUGUUAAUAACACAAAAUGUUGCUGGUGGCUGUUUAUGUGGUAUAUCUUGGUUUGCAGCGGGUGCAUUGUGGGUGUGUUGCCUCAGCCCCUACGUACGUGUUUCUUGAUGUUGGAGGAGUUGAGUGCAUUGCAUGCGCUAGGAAAUCUCUUGCGAUGGUGAGCUCAAUAAUGCUUUUGUGGUGAUUGUUAUGCAGUAUCUAAAGGUUGCACUGUUACUUUCUAUAUAUUUUUUCUGGUAUAUGAUUGUUCAUGCUGCACCACAUUUGAAAAUUUUUGUUGGUCAAAAAAUAUUUAAUUGGCUUUUUUGAUACGAGAGCAUAGAGUUUAAAAUGUAAGGUUAAUUACCUAAUUUCAUUAAUUGUAGGCACUCCGUACUAGUUUCGUUGCUUCUGGUUGUUUUAACAAAUGCCUGAUAAAAUAAAUUCCUUGUUCACGCAAAGUUUUUGACCCUGUCACUCCUAUAUUCUCCUUGAGUCCCUUCCGUCCAAAUCUUUAAACAUGACUAAUGACAGGUAACUGUGUAGGAAAGAGGUCUGAGAAUGGUAUGACAUGAUCCUAUUAUUUUUUGUGUGCACAUUAGGAGAAAUGCAACUAAUUUUGCAAGUCAAAACUUGGAUAAUUUAGCUGCUGUACUCAUCUGACCUAGUUUUAAUAUAUUAGCCCAAAUGUCUAUUUCCUAUUUAUAUCAUCCUUUGUGCUUAUUCCAGAUAAUGUUAGCUCCAGAUAUAGACUUCCGAGAGCAAUUGUUUUGGUUGCAUAUUAGUUUUUACCACUUACCCAAUUCUUUUGCUUUAUGGUUGCUCUUACUAUAUUAGGCACCAAAUCAAAUGUUGUCUUCUCCUAUGCUUAUGCACCAACAUGUAUCUGAGAGGAGAGAUUUACCUGUUAAAUCUGGGAGACCGAUAACCAGUCCAUUUUCUGGACAGUGGCGUCAAGCUCCACAUAUGUGGAACAUGACAAGCUUGCAGUCUGACUUACAGCAAAGGCUAUCAUAUGAAUUUGACAGACCUAGUAACAUUGAAAAAUUGGCACCUGGAGGCCGCCAUUCUAUAUCAGCACAUGAAAAGAAAUUUGAAGAACUACCCGAAAGAAUAAUGUCUGGCAGCCAUAACAAUAUUGCACGAGACAGAUAUGCUCAUGGGAACACAGGUUUGGAGUCAUUUCCUUCAUACAAUAAAUAUAAAGAAGAAGUAAGAAACACUGAUGUCUUGCUAAAAUCUUUCUUGCUUGUAGGAGAAAAUGAUCCUGAUUCUACAAGGAAAUCAGUAAUUCCAGAUCCUUGUUCAACCAGUUCUGGAGUUAAAAUUGAAGCAAAAGCAAAUUCAUCUAUCAAAUUGCAACCUUUACCUAUUUCAAAAGAAGACUCUUCUCCACUUAUUGGGUUGGCGGCUCCCUUUUCAUCGACAAAUGGAUCAAGGGAGCCAAUGAAGUUCUUGUCAAACCAACCACCACAACUAACAACUUCUCCAUUACCAAAGCAGUUUUACCCCGAGGGUAUCGCAGAUACUGAACUGCAAAUUCAAAUGCGCAAUGGAAGAGCUAGAGUGGAUGCCCGUUCACGAACACAAUUGCUUCCUCGAUAUUGGCCUAGGAUAACAGAUCAAGAGCUACAACAAAUAUCUGGGGAGUAUCCUUCCACCUUGUUAAUCAUUAUAUAUUUGGUUUAGUCAUUGUUAAUCUAACCUUGAUUUGUUGACAUUCUAUUCAUAUUAUUUCUGUCUAAUCCACUGAAGCUUUUGCUUGACCUAUUAUAAGUACAAAUUCCGUCAUCACUCCAUUGUUUGAAAAGAUGUUAAGUGCUAGUGAUGCUGGCAGGAUUGGACGUCUUGUGCUUCCAAAGAAAUGUGCUGAGGUGACAUCUUAAACUUUUCAGUUCUUAGAAAUAGAUCUUCAACAAAUCAAGUAAUUGAGCCCUGAAGUUUAUAGAGUAAUUGUUUCCCUAUCUGGUUGUAUUGACAUUACUCUUCUGUUGAGCCAUGUCUCUAGGUGCAUUAUAGUUUCCUACUCACAUCGAAGUGCUGUGUGGCCAUUGCAUCUAUAUCUAUUACCUAUUUUGUUGUUUAAUACUCCUUCCAUUCUUCACAUUCAAAUUUUCUCAUGAUUUGUCAUCUAUUACGCCAAAGCAACUAAACUUUUUUUUGGUUUUUCUUACUUGUCUCCGAGAUGAUCCAUAUGCAGCAGAUGGUCAGCAUGCUGCCUCUUUCAGGGUUAAGUAUAAAAGUUGAACCAAUUUUAUAAGUUCUAAAAUUAGCUCUUUGGUUGAUCUUCACUUCUUAGCUUCAUCCUCUUGACCUCUACAGGUUGUCUUUGAUUCAUUAUUUUUAUGGCCAUACCAUGUGGCUUUUAGUGUAGAACUGAAAUGUUGAAGGGUACAACUGAUGCCAAUGAUGCUUUAAUAAUGAUUGUUGACUUUACUAUAACAAUGCUAUGGAAAGGAAGCAUUAAGUAGAGAGUCUACAACCGAUAUUCAAGAAUGAUGGCUUACUUUCUUGAGUGAUGGCUUAGGGCUCGGCCCAAAUUUUAAUGGAUGCCAAGCCUUAGAAGUUAAUGAUUCAUUUUGCAUGAAAGAAUGUGAAUUUUAAUGGAUGCGAAGCCAUAGAAGUUAAUGAUUCAUUUUGCAUAAAAGAAUGUGUGCUGCAAAUAUCUACAUCUUAUAAUGUUACACUAUAAGAUCGUGAUGGGAUUUUAACAAUUACAUGUAAGCAUACUAGAUCUUAUGUCUGAUACCUUUUUGCAAUGGGAUUGUCUACAUGCAAAUGGAUGAGCUUUUGCGAAAUUUUCUUGAACGUUCUUAUACUUGCCAACCUAACUGGGGAAAACAACUCAACUGCCACACAUAUGUGCCAAUCUGCCUGCAUAUUUUCUGGUUUAGGAUAUCAACUCACCAUGUUAGCCUUCCUGGGCAGAUGAUUGAUAACACAACUACAAUCUUUUACCUACUCAACCAAGUUAUUAUACUUCAAAUUAAA